GCAAGGCUUCCGUGGUCCAAUGGUUAGGAUUCCACCCUUCCAAGGUGGAGGUUCGUGUUCGAUUCACGGCGGUUGCA
RNAcentral lists this transfer RNA (77 nucleotides) under Blumeria graminis f. sp. tritici 96224. Its description in RNAcentral is "tRNA-Gly (TCC) (tRNA-Gly-TCC-3-1)". It matches the Rfam family "tRNA". Rfam says of the family: Transfer RNA (tRNA) molecules are approximately 80 nucleotides in length. RNAcentral also lists the same sequence under 1 other name. Lineage: Eukaryota; Fungi; Ascomycota; Leotiomycetes; Helotiales; Erysiphaceae. The record is from RNAcentral.